This 435-nucleotide ribosomal RNA is filed under the name uncultured bacterium. RNAcentral describes it as "partial 16S ribosomal RNA". It matches the Rfam family "Bacterial small subunit ribosomal RNA", at positions 29 to 507 of the family's 1533-position model. The record is from RNAcentral.
AACGAACGCUGGCGGCAUGCCUAACACAUGCAAGUCGAACGAUUGCCUCCGGGUGAUAUUGGCUCACGGGUUCGUAACGCGUUGGAAUCUGCCCUUAGGUUCGGAAUAACAGCUGGAAACGGCUGCUAAUACCGGAUGAUAUCGCGAGAUCAAAGAUUUAUCGCCUGAGGAUGAGCCCGCGUUGGAUUAGGUAGUUGGUGGGGUAAAGGCCUACCAAGCCGACGAUCCAUAGCUGGUCUGAGAGGAUGAUCAGCCACACUGGGACUGAGACACGGCCCAGACUCCUACGGGAGGCAGCAGUGGGGAAUAUUGGACAAUGGGCGCAAGCCUGAUCCAGCAAUGCCGUGUGAGUGAUGAAGGCCCUAGGGUUGUAAAGCUCUUUUACCCGGGAAGAUAAUGACUGUACCGGGAGAAUAAGCCCCGGCUAACUCCGUG